Molecule: ribosomal RNA, 497 nt
Filed under: uncultured bacterium
Lineage: Bacteria
Description: partial 16S ribosomal RNA
Rfam family: Bacterial small subunit ribosomal RNA
Source: RNAcentral
GAUGAACGCUGGCGGCGUGCCUAAUACAUGCAAGUCGAGCGAACGGACGAGAAUCUUGCUUCUCUGAUGUUAGCGGCGGACGGGUGAGUAACACGUGGAUAACCUACCUAUAAGACUGGGAUAACUUCGGGAAACCGUAUCUAAUACCGGAUAAUAUUUUGAACCGCAUGGUUCAAAAGUGAAAGACGGUCUUGCUGUCACUUAUAGAUGGAUCCGCGCUGCAUUAGCUAGUUGGUAAGGUAACGGCUUACCAAGGCAACGAUGCAUAGCCGACCUGAGAGGGUGAUCGGCCACACUGGAACUGAGACACGGUCCAGACUCCUACGGGAGGCAGCAGUAGGGAAUAUUCCGCAAUGGGCGAAAGCCUGACGGAGCAACGCCGCGUGAGUGAUGAAGGUCUUCGGAUCGUAAAACACUGUUAUUAGGGAAGAACAUAUGUGUAAGUAACUGUGCACAUCUUGACGGUACCUAAUCAGAAAGCCACGGCUAACUACGUG